GCACUGUAGUCAGAGUUUGAUCCUGGCUCAGGAUGAACGCUAGCUACAGGCUUAACACAUGCAAGGUCGAGGGGCAGCAUGAAUAUUGGCUUGCCAAUAUUUGAUGGCGACCGGCGCACGGGUGAGUAACACGUAUCCAACCUUCCGGUUACUCGGGGAUAGGCUUUCGAAAGAAAGAUUAAUACCCGAUGUUGCGUAUCUUUCUCCUGAAAGAUACGCCAAAGGAUUCCGGUAACCGAUGGGGAUGCGUUCCAUUAGGCAGUUGGCGGGGUAACGGCCCACCAAACCUUCGAUGGAUAGGGGAGCUGAGAGGCUUAUCCCCCACAUUGGGACUGAGACACGGCCCAA
This 348-nucleotide ribosomal RNA is filed under the name uncultured bacterium. Its description in RNAcentral is "bacterial SSU rRNA". It matches the Rfam family "Bacterial small subunit ribosomal RNA", at positions 1 to 334 of the family's 1533-position model. The record is from RNAcentral.